GGAAAAACUAGUGAACUCUGCUUUCCAUUGAGGAGAACUGACUUUGGCAUCCAUAUGCAGGUCCUGAUCCAACUAAAUGUGUAUUUCCUGAAUCAGGGGCACAUGCUCAAAUGUUUGUGGUCUCAUUGGAUUUCCUCCUUCCUAUAAGUCAAGAUGAGAAGUUGAGUGUCUCUGAAAACUUACGUAACACAGAGGUCCACAGACUUGAAAUUUGGAAACGUAACCAGCUGAACAGUAUAUUCCUAUGAAGAGUUACAUGUAGUUUCUUUACUGAAUCCAUGAGAGAACAAAAUCUUGGAUGGAUAUGGAAAAUGAGAGCAUCUUUUCCUCAGGGAACCGUGCUCCUAGGCACUCUUGGAAAGCUUUCAGUCCAGAAAUAGAAACAUGUCUGAAAUUUUCCCCAGUCUGAGAUUUCUUAUAUGUUUUUUGUGGCAAAUCAGAAAGGAUACCCAAACUAAUUUCUGUGGAGGAUGUCAUUGGAGAAGGGAAGGCAGAGUCACUCUGAAGAUCCCAGACACAUGAACAUCAGGAUAUAAAAGAGCUAAAGCCAUUAAUCCUUUGUGUGACUGCUAUGGAUACUGAAAACUGCACAAAAGACAGAGAACAAUGGUAAUCAU
Non-coding RNA from Cyanistes caeruleus (blue tit), 617 nucleotides. Lineage: Eukaryota; Metazoa; Chordata; Aves; Passeriformes; Paridae. The record is from RefSeq and is a predicted model, not a curated record.